RNAcentral lists this ribosomal RNA (492 nucleotides) under uncultured bacterium. RNAcentral describes it as "partial 16S ribosomal RNA". It matches the Rfam family "Bacterial small subunit ribosomal RNA", at positions 29 to 507 of the family's 1533-position model. The record is from RNAcentral.
AGUGAACGCUGGCGGUAGGCCUAACACAUGCAAGUCGAACGGCAGCACAGUAAGAGCUUGCUCUUACGGGUGGCGAGUGGCGGACGGGUGAGGAAUACAUCGGAAUCUACUUUUUCGUGGGGGAUAACGUAGGGAAACUUACGCUAAUACCGCAUACGACCUACGGGUGAAAGCAGGGGAUCUUCGGACCUUGCGCGAUUGAAGGAGCCGAUGUCGGAUUAGCUAGUUGGCGGGGUAAAGGCCCACCAAGGCGACGAGCCGUAGCUGGUCUGAGAGGAUGGUCAGCCACACUGGAACUGAGACACGGUCCAGACUGCUACGGGAGGCAGCAGUGGGGAAUAUUGGACAAUGGGCGCAAGCCUGAUCCAGCCAUACCGCGUGGGUGAAGAAGGCCUUCGGGUUGUAAAGCCCUUUUGUUGGGAAAGAAAAGCAGCAGGUUAAUACCCCGCUGUUCUGACGGUACCCAAAGAAUAAGCACCGGCUAACUUCGUG